Molecule: long non-coding RNA, 22375 nt
Filed under: Gallus gallus (chicken)
Lineage: Eukaryota; Metazoa; Chordata; Aves; Galliformes; Phasianidae
Description: lncRNA (ENSGALG00010027655.1)
Source: RNAcentral
AUUUUUUCUCCUUAAAGCACAUGUACCUGGGAGGUCACAGUCUUAACAAAGUCAAAGUUUUGUGUGUUUGAGAGCUUUGCCCUACUACCAUGUAAUUGAAAUCAAGCUUUUAAAAGCUCACGGUAAUAUGUUUGUUCUUUAACCUCACCCAACGAAGAGAGAGCGCUUUGCUGAGAGAACCCAUUGUUACGCUCCUGCACUUAACUGAUAAGGAACUGAUACAACCAGUAGCAAAGAAAGAAACUAAUAAUAAUAUAAAAAGAUUCACAUGCCUUCCUUCCCCAGCAUACUAAUGCCUUGCCCAAUGAAUUUCCCAAGUUGUUAACAAAUGAGGUGCAGUAUAUUUAAUAAUAUUAACAUAUUGUUGCAAGGCUUAUUUAAUAACAGGUAGGAGGGAUGAGUUCUCAUGUCAGAAAAUGGAGGGCCUCAUGCCAUUUGGAGACCUGCUCAUUAUCCGUUCUUACAAUUUAAUGAUAUAUGUGUCUAUUACCGAGGAGAAGUAGAGGAUCUACUCAGGAACUCUGUGAGAUUGAUUGACUGGAAAAACGCAUAAAGGCUUAAACUAUCUUACAUCAUCUGCCAUGCAUACAGGACACUUUCUCUGCUAUGUGAAAAACUCUGAGCAACUGGAGACAGUGAAAAUAUGUAAAUGGGACUGGGCUGAUUUCAAGGAGAUGACAUGUGGGUUCUGAAUGUGUUCGGCAAACCAGGAAAUCACAUCCUUCCCAUUCCAGGAACCAGGACCUCAUGAGCGAACUUCGCUCUGGAGAAACCUAGUGAGAUGUGAGAACAACUUGUGCAAUAAAAUCAGUGGGGAAUGGAUAUCAAAGUGUACAGCAACAUUAGCUGCAGUAGCUUCAGAAGAUAAAGAGUUAUGGUCAUAUUUUAGACUGCACAAAGUGGGAUUACAAGUCUCUUCUGGCAUUUCAACCAAAGAAGUCAAGAAGCAAAUGGCAAGACCAGCUAUUCAAAUACUGCCACCAAGACAAGAGGUGGAGGUCGGUCUAUUCUCCCAGCUUUUGCACAUCUGGCCAAACCAAACUGGAGUUGAAUCUGCAACUGAUCCCCAGGUCAUGACUCAGCUGUCCCCAGAUGUUCAGAUACCAAGAAGAUGACAAUGAGGAGCCUGGGAGAUGGCAUUCCUUGAACCUCAACAACUCCAACAGUCUCACAAGCAUUCAAAUGGGAACUCUGAACAAAACACAUUCAGGAGUUGAAAAAUCCAACUGGCUCUGAUGUUUCCUGUUUUCCUGGAUUGCAGCAGUGCUGAUAGUCAGAUACGGCAUGAGAAGGGUGUGGGAAAUGGCAGCAGAACAUACCCUGCCCUGUCUUGGAACAUGAGGAACUUCACCUGUGCUCAAAGAGAAGAUCGAGGAAAACUGGCAGAGGGAGGAAGCGUAUCUGGAGUGUUUUGGCUGUCGUGUAAAAUUUAAAAGAAUGCAAAAUUUGUGAAAGAUUCAGUGUUGGAUGGACAUGUCUACCAGGCAAAGACAGCAGCUAGUGUUCAUCACAUCUGCAGUCCGACUCUGGCAGGAUCAGGACUCGGAUGGCCAGUGCCUAUGGGGCUGAGAGUGAGGAGGGACCUGGAACCUCAUGGGGACAGGAAAAGUUCACACUGCUGCCAACGUCAAUGUCUCCUAUUUGCUUCUUCCAGAAGAGUCAGGUCCUGUUCCAUGGAGAAACAGAAGGAAUUAGAGUAUCCUCCUCUCAACAAAGACAGUUCUUCCAUUUCAUGGAAAGAGGAUGCACCACUGCUUGCUUCAGUCUGCUAUAAUACUUGCAGAAAUUGCCUACAUCAUCUACAUUCAAAGCCUGCUCUGUAAUGGGCAGUGGAUAUCACUUAUGUAAUUAAGCAGAGGUAAAUAAACAUGCGUAUGGUACGCAGUUAAGCUAAUCAUCCCAGAUUAUCAGUACAGUCAGUGAGGACAUAGACAGGCUAUGCAUAGGAAUCUUGAGUGUGAUUCGUCCUCCUUAAGUAAAUGUAUACAGUAGGUCAGGAAAACUGCACCCUAAAAACACUUAUUUCUCUUCCUUGCCUAUAAGGAGAGCCCAGAGUGAUUAGCACAGCUGUAGAUAUCUAUUCUGUAGAUGCUGAAAGAGAAAUGACACAAAUUCCACCCUGAUGUCUGCAAAAACAAAUGAAGUUUGCCAUAAUGGUGGUGGUUGAGCUGUGGCUUGCAACGCACAACAGGAAUAUGUGGAGAUGCUUCUAGCUUCUCCUUGAUCAACUCUGAGCAUCAAUAGUUUGCAGAGGUGUCUCAGGGCACUUGUUGCUAAAGUCAUAAUUAGUCUGUUGGUAAGGUGGGACACAAAUCAGAUUUAGAUUCCUGAAAGAGAUGCAGCUCUUACAUUGUGGAGGAUAAAAACAGAACAUUUAAUUGCCAAAUGGACAUAUGAAUAUGUCGAUCAAAAAACUUUUUUUUUUUUUUUGGGGGGGGGGGGGGAAGUAAAAAGUUAUGUCUUAGGUGGAGGAACAACUGGCUAAUCCUUCAUAGAAUCAUUAUCCUAGAAUCAUAGAUUCAUUAAGGUUGGAAGAGACCAAGAUCAUCUGCUCCAACUGUCGACUCAUCCCCAGCAUGCCCACUAAAUCAUACCCCUCAGUGCCUGAACUCUUCCAGGGACAGUGACUCCACCACCUCCCUAGGCAGCCUGUUCCUAUGUGUUACUACUCUUCCUGAGAAUAAUUUUUUCCUAACAUUCAAUCUGAACCUCCCUUGGUACAACUUAAGGCCAUCACCUCUCAUCCUAACUGCUGUUACCUAGGAGAAGAGGCCGACACCCACCUCACUACAACCUCCUUUCAUGCAGUUGUAGAGACCAAUAAGGUCUCCCCUGAGCCUUCUCCAGACUGAACAAUCCCAGUUCCCUCAGUCACUCCUCAUAAGACUUCCAGGAAUUUCAAAGGCCGAAAGUCUCGGUGUUAGCAUUAGGAGAUACCAAAAUGAUCUGACCAUGUAGGGAUGCACCUUGUAGUUGUAUCAUCCCCAGUCUGAGGAGUUGGGGCCAGUGUGGAUACCCUUAUUCCAUCUCACCAAAUGAAGAGCAAAAUAGAAAACCAUUCAUGCUGACUUGCCAGCUACUGCCUUUCAAGUAUCAUUACACAUUUCACAACAAUCUUCUCCUUUUAUAAGUACAAUCACUUGUGGCUCUGGGAUCUACCUACCAACUGCUCUUUAUUCAUCAUUUCUCCAGCAACUCAUACCUUAACAACAUUACACCAGAGCAGAGCCUGUCUGUGGCUCCACACAGAGCUCGACAAUGUCCUGCCUACAUGUGGAUGGAUGGAGGCAGUCAGUAAGAAGCAACUUUAGGCACUGCCUUCUCCCUGGGAACUACAGGCAUUGACUCUGGAGCAUAUCCCAGCUCUUGCCAGCACAGUAAGCAAGAGAUUUCAUCAUAAUCAUUUUAAUAUCUUUCAAAUGUUGCAUGGACAGAUAGCAGUCCAGGAAGAAUAUACACUAGAGGGUAGUCAGGGAGCGUGAUUAGUAUUGGAAACAAGUAUUUUUCUUGGCAGAGGAUGAGCAUGCCAUUUGACAGAUAGCAAAACACGGCAAGAAUGCUGCUCAGUAGUAGCAAAUGCCAAACAUUCUCUUGUGUACACCGAAGAAACUGAGUUUUGUUUUGUCUUGUUUUGUUUUUAAGCAUAGGGGAAGGGAGGGGGCUUACCACUGUCUGCAGUAGCACACAUGGCAGUACCUGCUUCUACUGCACUGUGCUCACAGCAGCUGGGAGCAUUUUCCAUGUGGGAUGGUUCUUCUCCCAAACCAAUCUAACAGGGUUAAUAAGCAAUCUGAAAAUACUGACUGGGCUUUAAUUUCUGCUGGUGGAGAGCAAACCAUUACCAUUACCAUCUUUCACACAUACAUGCAUCUCAUCUUCUGUAUCAGUGUCUGUCAGCUGUUGAAGUCAGCCAAGAAAAAAUGGGAUUAUUUCUGAGCAGUCUGGACUUCUGAGAGCCCUUUAAAUUAAAACAAAGCUCUAUGUCAACAAAGUUUUAUUUUGGUAUGUUUUACUCCAUUGCCAUAUACUGCAGAAUAAAGUGUUUGGGUGUCUAAAGAGAAAGUUAAACAGUAAUUAUUUAAUUUUCAGAUUGUCUCUGGUAGGCAUCCAGGGCAAUGAGAUUUUGAUAAAUAUUUUAUAUGGAUUUUUACAGAAUGUGUAUCAUCUGCUCUUCUAUAUGGAAGCAGACAACUUCUUGUCUGUGGUGCCAAUGAUUUUAACCUAAGUCACAGCUUGACAGGAUAGUUUUUUUAGAAAAAAAAGCACCAGGAUAAAAAAUCAUCCCUCGGCCUGGGAGAGUGAUUUUCCACUCAGGUGCAAUGCAGCUUCUCAGAGUCACUCAGGCAAAGGCUCUGCAGUCCUGAACUGGCCUGGUUUCCUCAGCUGUGGCCUUUUUCUUAUGAGAGGACAGCUGAUUGCAUGACCCCAUGAAACACAAUUUAGUGGAUAAAUCUGGAAGGCAAAACAAAUCCUUGCUUUUGAACCAAGCCCAAGAUAAACACCUGGGUAAAAGAAGAGCCAUCACACAGCUUUUCACAGAACCAGCUCUUCCAAAGUUUGGACACAACACUUUUCAUUCUUCAUUCAUUUCUUAGGGCUUGUGAAAGUAGAAGUGUUUUCUUCAGCUCUUGAUUUUACACGUUCAGUCAUGCUACCUGCUAUGCUUGGAACAAUCUUGUACAUCCUUUCAUGAAAUCUCCUCCCACCUCUCCAUACAAUGCAUUCCCACAGCAGUGCUGCCUCUUCUUUUCCUCUAAGGUCACUGCUCUCCCUAGAAUUUGGGCCAGCUGUUACUCCUGUGGCGUUGUUCACUUUCUCCAGAUUACCCUGUGUACUCCUCAGGGAUGAAUACCUUACUACACACUGGAGAAGCAAACUGAAGUCCAACCAAAGUUAAUGGCAAAAUUCCCAUCAACUUCAACAGAGCCAGGAUUUUGCUCAAAGUAUUCAAAUGAGUCCUUCGCUGGGCGUCUGUGAUGCAGAUAUUUCUGUGUCCAAGGGCAAAUUGUAUCUCCUAUCUACAUGUAAAGCAGACCGGACAGCUAAUAUUUUCAGUGUAGUAUUUCUGUCUAAAAUAAGCAAUUUUGUCUGAUAGCAAUAUAGAAUUUUAUAUAGCAUGUAAAAGCCUGAUUAUAUAAAGCUUUUUGUUCUUUUUUUCCACUUCAGUUGGCAAAUAUAUAUUUGCAGAUAUCUUAUCUAUAUGUUGCUGUUUCCUUGAGCACCUCAAACAAUAAAUCGAAACAUGCCUCAUGGUAACAUUGUUGGGUAUUUUUCUCUCACCCACAUACAUACCUACAAAGGUUUAAAAUACAACUUUUGAAAAGAUUCAGGACUGAAGGGGGAAAAUAAUCUUAUUAUGCAACAAUUAAUUGUCCUGCCAAAUGUGGGUGCCUUGGAAGCUUGAACAACCCGCCAACACACCUGUGUACAUUGGCAUUAAGUUAAAUCAAUAACAAAAAAAAGGCCCGCAGCCAAUUACCUGUCACAUGGAGAUUCAUUUUAAGUGGAGGUUUUACAAGCAUAACUUGAAUCAUAUCAUACUUACAAGAUAGUCCGUAUAUGAUAUUUACAAAGAUAUUUGAAUUGAGAAUAACAUUGAACCAAAAAGCUGUGUAUUACAAUGUCAUUAAGAAGCAAUCAACAGCCACAGUAGCAAUUAAUUUUCUGUCACAACAGAGAACAGUAAUUUACCAAAAUACAGAUAGGAGCAAAAAGAAAUGUGUUUUCUCUAAAUUGCAAUUUCUUGUAAUUAUUAUCAUACAUUAGGCCAGGAAAAAUGUCAUUUCCUACUUCCUGUCUUUCACUGUCUUGAUAUAUAUGCCUCACGUAUGCCCAUUUAUUGCUUUGUAAUUAUUUUCCAAAUAGUUCUUUGGUUGUUUAAAAACAGCUCAGCCUUAUUUCUUGUAUUUUUUUCCAGUAUAUGAAGAAAUUACAUGAUUACUAUUUCCUCCUUUACAGUGAUUGCCAAACCAGGUUCAUGAACGUAACAAUCAUGCAGUAUGGAGUAAACAGGAGUCAGAAGCACAGUUCUGUCCCUCUUCCAGUUCUGCCCAUCAAGGCACAUCAGACAUCAAGGAUGGUCUCGUAGGUAGUUUUCAUAAUGGGAAAGGACCUAAUAGUGGUAACAAAGCCUUGAUGUGCAAGAUGCUGUAUGAAUCUUCAGCCCCCAUCCAUUUCAGUAGAUGUUAAAGGUGCAAAGUAUUUGGCCUAAUUCAUCAACUUGUCUUUCUCUACUUACUUCUUCACCACAGAGUAACUCAAAAAGUCACUGUAGGUUUUGAGUUGUUCUCUGCAGUCCUGUAUUCUAGAUUCUAUUUUUUUUUAAGGUAUAUUCAUUUAUUAGUAUGAAUCAUGGUCAAUUUAAAAAGCUUUCAUGUUAAAGACAGUACUCAUAAAAUCUAUAAUGGAUAUUUCAUCCAUUUUCCAAGAAUUCUGAAGAUCAUUUUUUAAUCAUGAUGAAUCAACAGCUCCUUCUGACACAGCACUGUUUCUCCACCAAGGCCAUUGCAUGGCAUGCAGGCAUGCUGUCAGAGCAGAACCAGCUUCAGGAUGUGCUAUGACUUGACCUGCCUGCAAGAGAGGAUAGAACAUCCUGUAACUUAAGAACUCUUCCAGCAAUCCUCCAAUUGUUUCAAAAUUAUUUGAUAAAAAUGCAAUUUAGGUCCUCUUGAGGUUCAUCUUAUAGGGAAAUAUACCUUUACAUUAAUACACUGGUAUAAGGCUAGAAUGUAACAGAUGAGAACUGCAGUUGUUCUAACUACUGUAAUGUUUUGUGAGCUGGGAAGAUUUCAUUCCACUUCACUAUGAAUUUGAUCAAGUUAAAUUUCAGUAAGAAAAAUGAUGGUAACAUAAUGCCAAAGAUCCAUUAAACAAGAUCUUACUGCACUAAGUGUUGCAUAUAUUGAAUUAAAAGAUUGCCUUACUGUUGUGGUUUAACCCAGCAAGUGGCAAAGCACCACACAGUCAUUCAUUCACUGUUCCUCUUCCAAGUGGGAUUGGGGAGAGAACUGGAGUUGCGCCAGGGGAGAUUCACGUUGGAUAUUAGGGAAAAUUUCUUCUCUGAAAGAGUGAUCAGGCACUGGAAUGGGCUGCCCAGGGUGGUGGUGGAGUCACUGUCCAUGGAGGUGUUCAAGAAAUGUUUAGAUGUUGUACUGAGGAACAUGGUUUAGUGAGGAAAUAUUGGUGGUAGGUGGAUGGUUGUGCUUGAUCUUGGAGGUCUUUUCCAAUCUUAAUGGCCUCAAUGACUAUGAACUAUCAUUAAAAGUGACACUCAGGAGAACAGUUCCAACUGUUCACAAACAUGUUUUCCCUGUCAGACUUGAUUUUCUAUAUUUCCAUAAUUUUUUACCAUAAACUCUGUGUUUUAUAAGAUUGUCUGUAUAUUUGAGGGUUCUCUUCUGAAGAUGUUAUUCCAGAAUGGUUUUAUUCUUUAAAUAUUAAGGUGAAGAGAAUCAAAGAUUUUACACCCUUCCUCUCAAGCUGCCUUAUUCUUCAAAAAAUGUUUAGAAUUGCAUUAACAUCUUGUAAAACUAUAACAUUAGCAGCUAGAAGUCAUUGUUAAAGCUUGAAGACACUGUCAGUGAAGUCACAUUAAUUAAUGUUUCCUGUGUUAAUGUAUCUAAAUCUUAACUGUAAUUGAGUAGUUACAUCAGCUAGGUUGUCCUUUUUACUUUUUCAGACCUUAAGCAGUAUUGAUGAGUAUUUCCUGUUAUCUGAAUAACAAUAUACUCCAGGAUUGUAAAGGUAAUGUGUCCAUUAGCAGUAAGUCUCUCACUGGCCCUUACAGCUCCCACAUCCUCGUUGGAAAACAGGGCCACAGUCCUGAAGACCUGAGGCUGUUUUAAGCUCCUCAAAUAAAGACGUUUCUCUCAAAGCAGAGUUAGAAGCUGAAGAUAACAGAGUGCAAUAGGACUUGUGAAAAGGAUGUCAGCAAUGUCAGUUGUCAUGGUUUCAGGUCUGAGAGAACGUUAAGUUUCUGAACUUGUUCUGUUAUCAGAGCCACUCUCAGUUCCCCAUUUAUUGCCAAACUAUGUAGACUCAGAGAAGCUGGAAACAUGAGGGACCUGUCUGGCAUCUGAGUUCAGACUCUUUCAGGAAUGCUCCAUACCUAAGUUUCCAAAACAUACCAAGUGCUAAAUGGCUUCAUCCAGGGACCCUUGAAGCCACUGAAGUGCAAUGUAUCAUUGAGGUGCUUUUCUCGUCCAAUAAUUCUAAUUUUUGUAGAGUUACUUAUAAGGUCUUGCAUCUGCAAAGCAGAAAAAAAGAUUGAGAAAACUUUAUUUCCAAAAAUUAAAAAUUAAAUAAAGGUUAAUUUAAUAAAGGUGAUCGUAUUUCAAUUAAAAAAAAAAAAAAAAAAAAAAAGUACAGUUCCUUUUCACGGUUUUAACAUCAGAAAUGUUUAAACAGCCAACACCUCCCAACCAGGUAUCUUUUUUGAAGCAUCUAUAUAUUGAACAAAAUAGUUAGGAGUUAUCAUAUCUACUGCGACCUAGUAGUAUUUUUGAUACAGGAUUUCAGAUCAAUUAACAGAGGGUCACAGAGUGAGAACUACUUAAGAGUGUGUCCCAGGUAGGGCACUGCCAAUGGCACAAGCCAAGCAGAACGCAGGAAUUCAUCCUUGAGAUCCAACUGGAAGAUGUCAUUGAAAUGCCACAAGUUCUGUCUGCCAGACUUCAAGUUGACAGGAUUGAGAGCUUCCCUCUUUGGAAAAAAAAAAAAAAGACAACAGAUAAAGAUGCCUCAGUGGAAAUAUGCCAGGUUUCUAUGCAAUCACUCACCUCGUCAAGCUGGAAUAAUUUCCACAUUGCUCCAUCAUACAUUGACUCGAAUUACACUAUAACUUUGAAAUCAACAUUUUCUAGUUGUCUCCUUGAAAACUUCUCAAAAUGAUCUUCUUAUCCUUUCUGUUUUCUUGCAUUCUGAUGCUGAUUUCUUGCAUUCAUCUGAUGCUGAUUUCUUGCAUUCUUCUGAUGCUCAUCGUAUUUGGAGUACAGUAUCAGCUGCAACUGAGGAUACAAACCGAUACAUAUACUGACUACAGAUAUGUUUGCAUUUACACUUGUGUAUGCGUACUGCAUUGCAGUGGAAAAAAAAAAAAACGUUUACUUAAGUGAAAUUGGUAUUACUCUGUUCUCAUAUGGCUAUGCAGAGGGCACGGUUACCUUCCAGUGGGAAAUAGAUACCAUAGAGGCAUUUAACAUCAAGCAGUUGACGGUGAAACUACACACGCUUUCAUAUAAAAUGCCACGGAACUAAGUUACUGCAUUCUUCAAUAUUCUUCUCUGAGACCACUUCUAACUUUUAUGAUCCCUCUAAUUCAAACUUAAGUAAUAGAGAAUGUGUCAAUACAACUUUCCCUUUAAGUAUUGCUAAGGAGCAUGCAGGAGCCCACAUGUUUGCUUAACUGGCCCUGCAACCAACACUGCUAACAAUAAAACCAGAAGUUCAAACCCAGUUCCUUGCUUUCAAGUAUGCCCUUCAAACAGAAAAUACCAGUUUGUCAUCCUUCUAAAACAAAGUGCAUGAUAACCAGGAAUAAAUCUAACGUAUCUACCCCAUCAUUUUACUGACUUUUUUCAACACAUACUUUCUACCAAAGGUAACAGCUACUCAUGGCAUAUAUGCGUGUGCAUUGGUAAGCAUGCCUCAGAGACAUACAACCUCCCCCACCCUGCAUUUUCAAGUGCUAUAACACACUGCCUGCUUCCUAGUCCUGCAAAUACCCUUGAAGUGGAAUAAUGUUUAACAGAGGGCAAUACUGCUGGAGAACUGCCAAAGAAAUGAAGGGUGAGGGAAGCCAGUCAAGGCAUUCUGAUGAAUAUUUUUGUAUCUCCAAAGACACAACUAUUAUGCAAACAUUGACCUGUUUGUCAAGCAAUCACAGUUUACUAUUGCUUAAAGGUCACAGAAGUUUCUAAGAUUAUUAAAUAAUGCAUGGAGCCAAAGACCAAGGAUAUUAUUUAAACAGUGGAGGUAACUUUUGUUAGUGAAGGACAAUACGAUGACAAUGCCCCUUUAUUUUCCCUUGAAAAUCUCUAGAGUUUGCACUGUAAUAUAGUAAUGGCCCGUUUAAGCUGAAAGAAGGAACUCUGCUGCGGAAAUGUGGCUCAGUACUACAAUAAAAUAUUACAUGCAUUUUUCUCCCCCUUUCUCUACAUUUGUUGGUACAUGAUUUAUGUUUUUCUACAGGCCUUUCUCUGGUGCUAGGGAGCAACAGUCUCUCCAGCAGUCUAUACACAUAUAUUUGUGAAUGCAAUGAUCAGUCCCCAUUUGUCUUUCCAAUGUGGAUUAUAAUCCAGUGCAAAAAUUGUUUUGCAACAAUUGAGAGUAUGUGCUGUGCACACAUAAACAGGAAUCAGCAGAGGUUUGCAAAACCUAGUAUCAACUUUGUCAUCUGUUGAGACUGCUUCAUGAUAAGAAAUCCCACACUUACAGUUUCCCAAAGGCUGCAGUCCCUUCUAUUCUCACUAGGCCUUCCAGGUCAUCUCUUCAUGGUCUUCAGAUAUUCCCAAACUCCAGCUAGGUGAGUGAUCCCUUCCAAUGCAAAGAAUUCUGCUCCAUGACCUUCAGUUUCCAGGUAGCUGCCCUUUUGACAGAGACCCAGAAGGAUACAUUUCCCCCAUUUCACCAAGCAGCUACCAAGUUGUUCUGAAAGCUGCAGUGAGCUGGCCCUGGGAUCUUCAUCAGAAACUACAAGCAGAUAAUCUCAAAGGUUUUGUUCCAUCUCAGAAAUAAUCAGUAGUUCCCUCUACAUUUAUAAAGCACAGCUCUGUAUAAACUGGAAGAUAAUGGAAGUGAAGUAUUAAUGACAGAAUUUCUGAUUUAAACAAAAUGAAUAAAAAAAGAAUAGCAGUCAUGAAUUUGGGUGGAUUCUAGCACUCAGUGUUUUUUUUUCUUCUUGGUGGUACUUGGCUACUGUUGCCUCAUUUUUAUGAACAUUUAUAUUUGGAAGACUCCCCAUUAUCAUUCUGCUUGGUUGCCAACAGCAAAAGCCAUAACGACAGGUCCAAGAAGGGACAGAGAAAGAAGAACAUUUGGAGGCCAACAGAGAACUAAAAUUUCAGUUUCAUUCAUCAUGAUCAUGAAUAUGCACUCCCAUCAAAACAUUUAUAGGUGACUUACAGUAAUAUGAAAGACACCUAGCUGCCAAGAAACCUUUGGUCAUAUCACAGGGCAACCGAGGUUAUCAUCAAGAACAAAAACUAAUCUUAAAAAAAAAAUCCAAUAAAAAGACAAUAUCUCUGGACAAUUAUUUCACAUGACAAAUAUCACGACUUCAUAGAAUAACUCAGUCAUUCCAAGAAGCACUAUUUCUCCUGGAAAUCCAGAUGAAGUGAUUUGUGGAGUGGGAGGUACCUAAUAAAGCCAGUGGAAGUGUUGGCAGGGAGUUUAAUGGCACAGCACCAGAAUGACACUCCUGACCUUACAGUUUAAGCAAGAUGCCUUCAGAGGAAAGAGAAGAAAGAGCCCGUUAUUAAUGGAGUUGACAGAUACAGAAUUAAGCCUGAUAAACCCAAACUACAUUCUUCAGAGUCACCUUCCCACUGAAAACUUAUGGGCAUUUGAAAUUACAUGCAGUAACUUCAUUUCUUAUCCCAAGAGGAGGUGAGUAUUCGUUUGUAUACCCUGGAGACUCUUCAAAUAAACCACUGCUCAGGGCACUGUCUGCCAGACCCACCUUCCCUAUGAUCUAGGGGAGAAAAGCAUCAAAUGAAAGCCAGAAAGUUCACCCAUCUGGAUGCAACCUGCACGUACUAAAGUGGGCAUGUCUGUUCUGUUAGCAGAGAUCCCCAGCUCCCAGCUCAGUGCAGCGCCAGGAGGAGACGCCAUGCCAGGUCAUGAAGCCAGAUCUGUAUUCAUAGGCUGUUGAACCCAAAUAAGAAAUCCUCUCUGUCCACAUUCAGCAGUAAUACAUGGCAUGCACCCAGUGUGCUCAGGUGGAUUAUACAGAUGUGUGCAGUACCUAAACCAUGCUGCUGCCAGCUCUCCAUGGCAACUCAUUUCAGCAAAGACAGGGACACUUGUAGGAAAGCAAACUGAUGCAGGAGAAUUUAAUAAGUCUUGAGCCUACAUGAAAAUAAAGCCAAGCUUUCCUUAUCCUGUCUUGUCCUCACUGUUCAAUAAAAAGAAUGCAAGAAAAAAAAGCAAUCUGUAGAGUAUAAAUCAUGACUUGAUAAAUGUAGGUCCUUAGAAGCCAGUUGUGUAAAUACAGAUACACCUGCAGGCCCUGAUAACCAGAUUAGCAGCAACAGCUGCCAGACCAUGCAGCAACAACCAAGAGAUAUUGUUGUGUCCUGGCCAACGAAGUUUCCAGAUUGACUCUCAGGUGCUUCCCGUACAUCACUGUUAGUGAGAGCAAUGCAUCAUGAAAGUAGAUGAUCUCCAUUGAUCUUGAAAAUGUAACAUUUUUCUCUUUGAAUGUAUACAAUGCAGUUUGACACUCGCACUAGUUCACAGUACCUCCAGUGUACAAAGGGAUGAGACUUUGUCUGCUGGCAGCUGGGAAGAAUAUCUGAACAGGAAAAAAGAAGUUGUGUCUGGGUUUGGUAUGACCUCAUGUUAAAUAGUAUAUCCUUAUUGGGUAAAUAUCCAUAUCAACUGAUUCAUAGGUGUCCUGCCUUACCUGUUCUUAUUGAAAAUUAGAAUCUAAAAUUAACAAUUUUUCUUGGCAAAGCUCCACUUGAAUUACAUGAAAAAAUCUGAUGAUCCUCAGAGUGACAAGAAGUACAAGCUAGAUCUAGAAAUAUACACAGGCAUAGACAGAGGGGAAAAAAAAUCUUUUUGUCCCUACCAACAAAUCUAACAUCAGUGGUUCUAUCUCAGCACUGCUCUUGUUAUUCUUCCUAGAAAUAGAGAUAGUUCAUAGACAAUAUAAUAAAAUUUAGGUGCUUGUGACCCACUGAGACUGUUGAGCCAGGCCUUCCUUGGUGGUACAGUUCCACUGGGGCUGAGGCAGUGGUAGAGCCAGGGCUGAUAACAUCAUCCACUGGCAGCCCCCAACACAGCAAGCCAUCAACCUGCCAUGAGCAGAAGGAGGUGGGCCCAGAGACACUGCUGUAGGGCAGUUCUCCUGCAACAUUGCCAAAGCAAGACAACCAGCACCAGGCAGGACUGAAACAAGGCUCCUGGGCAUGGAAAGCAGUGGGUUGAGGCUCCCACUAUGAGUAGUAUCCUCAGGAAAAUCCUUUAUAGGAAAGUGUUUGAAUACCUUUAUAUCCAAAUUCAUGUGAUAAUCCUGCCCUAAAGGACUGGCAGGACUUAGGCAUGAACUAACCAGCCAAGAACUAGUCUUCCACCACGAGUAUCGGGUCUAGACUAAAAAGCCUGUGUUUCUACUCAUUUCUAAUGAUUCAAAUGACUCCCUUCUUGACAAGAAUAUCUACUGCAACCAAAAACAGUGAAAACUUGAUAUAAGUUGAAAUGUUGACUGUAUAGUUAAUAUGGACUGAACACCUAGUCAGAUCAAAAUAACUGAAAUAAUUGAAGGGUUACUGUAUGCUGGAUGUCUCUUGUCUUUGUGAGUAGUGGAAUGGAUACUCUCACAGGCAAGCUGUGAGGCAACAAAUUCAGCCUUCACAUUUCCAGUCAAGAGGCACUGCACUGCAGACAGAACUCUGAAGAAUAAUUACUGAUUACUAAUAUACUGUGGAGAAAUUGCUUUAUUACAAGGUGCAUUCUAACAUGCUGUAAAGAUGUACAAAAAAAAAAAAAAACAAAACAAAACAGAAAAAUUAAAUACUUAAAAGAUGAUUCUAGCUUGUUGUGGCCUGUUGCAAAGCAGUUAUAAAUUGGAGUACUUACAGCGGUUCAUGCAUGUCCCUGCAUGUUUGAACAGCAUAUCAGAGAAUUUAUUUAUCAGGGGAAAAAAAAGUCUCUGCUAAGUCAUUUAGUUCUUAAAAAGGUUCCUGUCAUUUACAGUUUUGCCAGAUUCUAUAAGGCGCAAUACCAGAUUGUCACAUGGGAAAGGCUUGCAGAUUCAAGUCCUUAUUCUUCCCUCUAGCGAGUACUGGAACGAACAAAUUUGGGACACAGAGGUUACGUCAAAGCCUUCCAACUCUUUGAAGGAUAAUUACCAUAGCUGCAUAAUCACAUGGUCUACCUUCCAUGCGUUCAUGUUAAGGAGAGGACAUUAAUCUAACUAACGCCCAGCGGCUGACAUUAUAUAUAUAUAUAUAUAUAUAUACUAUAGUUCUCUAUAAGAUAUAGCACACCACUUAACAGCUGCAGAAAACUCUUUACUACAUUCACAAACCCUUGAUGGAAAGAGCUGCUUAAUUCUUUUCAGACCUGUCAUAUUAGGUAAGAGUGUUCUGCUGCAGGAUGAUGAUGAUGCUAAUUGUCACAUUGUAUUGUUUCACUAGACAGCCUAGCCCACUACUUUAUUAUGGGUUAUGUAAGAGUUACAAGAGGUAGCCAAUAAACAGUGCACUAACAGAAUCAUUUACACUCUGAAAUGUUCAGAAGUACUCACAGGUAUGUCUAGAAGUCAUCUAAAACAACGCUUUGGUUCCAGGGGAUGGCAUGUGCUGAUGCUAUGAUCUAUGUAAGACUCUCCUCAGCAAACAAAUCACAAAGAAUGUUCCCGCAGCUCUUGGUGUCGGAGGCUUGGAGGAGCUCAUCCUCUUUCAUGUUAUGCAGUAUCCAAAGAGACUAUAGUGCAAUAUUCCCUUUUUCACUAUCUGUACAAAGGUUUUGGUUGACUGGCAAGGAAAUAAUGGAAUCAAAUGGCACAUAACAACUGGCCCUCUCCCAGCGCUUGUCCAUCUUCUUUCAGUCCAUUUGUGAAAUCAUAUGGAAAUCUCAGCAAUGUUGGGAUGUCCAAACAAGCAUGGUGAGCCUUUCAGUCCCUAUUUAAUAUAUUAAUGAUCAAGAAAUUGUGUCCUUUCUCACGUGGUUUGCAAAUCUUUACUGCUGUCAUUUCCACCGGAAAGUGGUAAAAUAUGGAAGUGUUUUGAUGGAGGGAGGAGGAAAAUCUUUUCAGAUACAGUGUAGAAACAAAUAAACACAAGACAUAGUUCCUGGUUUGUAACCAAAAUCAAUAGCCAUAUGCAGCAGGACUGAGGUCAAUUUAUGCUCCCAUGUUUCACAUAUUGACAAAAUCUGUAUUAUUGUAAUGCUGUGUUUUAUUAACCUAUGUCUAAUAAAGCUUAUACUUCAUUAAAAAGCCAUUUUCAAACAGAUUCUAUGCAUUUUAUUAAUAAAUAAAUUUUAUUACUUACUGUAAAAUCAGUAACAUAAAUAAAGUACAUUAAGCAUGUCCUUUUACCUACAGAAAACAUAUCACAACUAUUUUCCUCCAAGAUCUAAUUAGAUUAAGCUUUCAUUUUCAAAACAGAAGAAAAUACCUGGGGCAGAUCUGGCUAUAAGUCAGCACCAUACCUGUUGGCUUCUUUGUUUUGUAUUUUUGUUUAUUUGGUUAUUAUUUUACCAAGUAGCAAAUUUGCCUAUGUAAUAAACAAAAGGAGCCCUCUUGUGAUAGAGCCUACUCAAAAGUAAAAACAGAUACUCGUGAAAAUAUCAAAUGAUUAAUUUUUUUGCAUUUUUUAAACAAUUAAAUGGUGUUCAUUAAUAUUUCAUACUGCACAAAUAUUUUUAUAACCAUGCUUGCUAUCUCUGUAACAUUCAGAUAUGCCUGCAAAUGUUGAGUAGCCAUAGAUCCUAGAGUCAGGCUCUUUAUUACAUAUGCUUAUAACUAUGACUCAUAAACAAGUUCUAAACUAAAUGCAGCAUAUGCAAUUGUUGAAAUAGCACUUUGUUUGGGGGAAAUAGCGUCUUGAAUUAAUGCUAUGAUGGAAGUGUGAACUUGUAUAACAUAUCUGAGUUUCAAUUUCUUACCUUUAAAAUGGGAGAAUUAACUUCAAAUGCUGAGUAUAUCACUCUUGUAAGAGAUAACAAGUCUGGAAACCAAGGAGAGUCCACAGGGUCCUCAUUGUUGAAGCAGGACAAGAAAAUUAAUUUCCCUAGUAAUUAAUAUGUUGCCACUGCAGUAAUAGACCAACAUGACAAGGUGAAGGAUCUUAGUACGAAUAUGAUCCAACAUGAUGCUUGAGCUGCAUGUUGAAAGUAGACAUUGACAUUGAUUGUUUCAUUUCUGGGAGCCUAUCAUCCAUGGCCCUAAUUAACUGCAUUUGGAAAUCUGUGUGAGCUACCUAUGGAACAGGCUUUGUCUGUCCUUGCAUUUCUCCCUGAAUGGGGCUGCAAGGCUAAACUCUCUGGUUGCCUACUUUUACAGUGGGGACAGUUGCAAUACACAUGAGCACAUUUGAAUGGCUGCUUUAACCUUUUCAGUGAGGAGAAGAUGCUCAACCAUGAGACCUCUUGUGAAGAGGAGGCAACACGUCCCAUACCCAAUUCAUUUCACGGAGGUCAUCCAAGUGCUUUCACCAAAUUCUCUUAUUUUCAUUGUGACAUGAGAAGACAUUCUUAUUGAAGUGUGCUUAAAAGAAAGCAGUCCUUGAACUCUGGAGUGACAGAAUUUUGUCUUCGUAGUUCAGUGUGGUCUACUUAUUCCCUGUGAGAGCCGAAGCAAUGCAGGAAGCACACCUUUCCCUGCAACAAUAUGGGAGGGGCUGAUACCUGGGACCUCAGUGAAGCACAGGCUGAGUUUAUUCACAGUCCAGAUUUCCUCAUUACUCCCAUGUUAUCAUUAAUAUUUCAGAUCUCCUCAAAGUCAAAAUACCAGAAUAUCUUUGUUCUCAUGAGAAAUCCAACAGCUCCUGGGGGGAAAACGCUAUCUGGAGAAAAAUCCAGACUAGAAGUGUUUAGCUGAAAAUAAUCCCCACUUUCAUUUUAAUUUACUCAUAUUUUAAUUGGAGGGAAAGAGAUGUGGGAAAUAUUGGUGAGCAGUGAAAAAGGAAGAAAGGCAAAUUCUGUACACCAAUCACUGGAGUAAAAGGUCACACCAAGGGGCAGAAUUUCCCUUCACUACAGCUGAUAAUGUUCCUCUCUAUGGAAUAUCACGGGGAAAAAAAAUCCUAAAUUUCAGUGCUUUUCAGUGAAAAUAUUUGAUUCUUAGUCUCAAGAUUUAGACUGAGAACAGGAGGCAGUGAUGGAAUAAAUGAAAUGGAAAAAACCCUAUUAACACUCCAGGUCUCCUAAGAGUAGAAGUGACAGAACAGCCUUGUUCUUUUAAACAGAGUGCAGAGGACAUUUUAGCAGAAAACAACAACCAGCGAUAAGAUCCUAUUUGAGGGGCAUCAAUUUUCCCCUCAGGGCUCUACACAGAAAAGAACGUAACAGCACAUUUUACUCCUGCUGGAGAUGUGCUAAAGCAGCUGUCCAGUACUUGGAAUAGGAGGAAAAACUGUUCUUUGUUACUUCAGUCUUUCUCUAUAUCUGAUGCAAGUCAGAAUUCAACCUUUGCAAAAUCACAAGUUGUACUCAGCUCUGGAUUUCAGAGUUACAGACCAACUCCUCCAUCAAUUCCUAUUUCCACCAUUCCUAUUUCUCUUCGUCAUACACUGCACUGGUACCCUGCAAUCACAACUUUCCCACAGUACUGAACUUCAAACAGUAAAUCACACACAAUACCAAAGUCUCAUUGAAGAGAGGUUUCAACCCAUAGUGAAAAUUGGUCUCCUGUUUUUCUUAAAAACAGGAAUAAAUUAGUAUUUGCAAACUGACUAUAACACAUCUGUAGUAUUGAGAGCUUUGUAACAGCACCCUUCCAGAGAUCUACCCUGUGUGUGUCCUCCCUUACAUUUAAGUUUCUGAAGUGAGGAGCCGACAUCACACAAGCAAGGCUGGAAGGAGCCCUAUGACAUCACCUCUGCUAUCUUUCUUCCCCAAGGUAUCAAAAGAAGUAAUUUAAGGGCAUUCUGAUAGAUCAGAGAUAGCCACCCAUUUUGUUUGGAGAAAGUAUAUGAAAGCUUUCGUACUUCAGAAGACUAUAGAACAGGCUAGAACUUUCAGAGCAAUACUUCUAUUUUCUGGCACAUUUUUUUCUAACUCGGGAACUCUUUUCACAAGAGUUUUGAUCUCAGGUUUAUCAGGCAGUUGGGGAAGAAAAGAUAAGGACUGAAACAUUUCAAACUAACUGAAAGUAUCUGUGUAAGACUGAACCUAAGGGAAGAUGAAAACUCAAAAGUGGGCAGUUGUGUUCUUGUUUAUCCCAAUCUCACCACACCCACAUGGUAGCAAAAUAGGCCCCAUGCCGAGAAUUUGUGGCAAGAGCCUAUUGUGUGGGCUUGGAAUAAUUUAAGAAUUGACUGUCAGUCUGUUUCUUGGCUUCCAGCUAUGAAGUAAUGCUCUAAGUAGAGAGCGAUACUCUGAAGCGCUCAUUACAAUCUUUAAAGCUGUCUCAUUUUCAAUUAUGAAUAUUAAAAAGAAGUACUCAGUAAUUCCUGCAUUAUAAUUAAUAUUCCAACUUUUGGUGUGGCUUGUUGGUUUUUUAAGGUCUAUUUUUAAAGACACUCUCUUAACUUAUUCCGGAGUUAGUUCCCAACAACCAAAUAUUGUUCCUGUUUAUAUCAGUGGGGAAAGUCCCAGUGAAAAAACUAAUCAGACCGAAGUUAAUGAAAACAACACCCCCAUUUAAAACAAUGCCCUAGCCUUAAACAAUCUGCUCGCAUUGCCUACUUGUAUAAAAUUUUAUAGCCUGCAUGUUCCAACCUUAAAAAAAAAAAUCCUGAUUAUUUAUUUAUGCCCUUUUUGUUUAAGAAGUUAAAUCCCCAGAGCAUCUCAAUUUAGAUCAAAAGCAAGCUACCAAAAUUCACCUGGCACACCUGUGCCGUGUGAUUUCUUAAUUACUUGCCUAGCAUUCUCAGAGCUACAAGGCAGAGAUGCAGGGCUCGUUUAGCACAUAUUCAGAUCUCUGCAAUGAACCUUGUGUAACAGAGACUUUCCAGAGUGCCCGAGGUGGUAACCAGUGUUAAACGAUCCCAUAUCUCCACAAACACUUGCAUUUCAGCAAUUUGCUUUCUCACAGGUUUCAGAAGACAGAGAGCUAUCUUGGGGUGAGUAAUCUGGGGAAAUAGAUUGAUUUAUUUAUGAGUUUCUUGAUGAAGGUUUUCCCCGGCUAGUGAGCAGCAUGGUGUUCCUUGCGCCAGUAGAGCCUUCUCAGUUCGAAGCGUAGAAGUAGGCCUAUUAAUUAUGAUAGCCACAGGUUGUUAUUACUUACAUUUAUGAUGCAACACCCUAGGAACCAAGGGAAGAGUUUGGCCAUUUCUGUUACACCUCAGACAAGUCUUCAGUUGACAGUCAUGGACAUUAACCUAAAAAGAUGUACUCAAAACAGGAGCAUGAGGUAUGGCACAAACAAGGCUCAUCUGAGGGAGCACACCCCAAGUUUUUGCUGAGACACUUCUUCCUCUUGGCUACAGGAUGUUUCUACACAGUGAUGAGAAACUGAGUUCACAUGUUAGAUGUGACUGCUGCUAUGCUGAUAUGCACGACUGACCAUUGAUAUGCCCCUUGUCUAGCCAGAGAACAUGCACCACUUGGAUGUAGAUGGGCUCAAAUUCAUGUUCAGUUUGCACGUACACUGACAAUUGUGUACAUGCAGGAGAAGAUCAAUCAUGUCUUAAACCUCCCUAGCACUGAGCACUCCUAGCUGUGUGUCUUCAUGCACGCAGUUUUAUAUUUUAAUAGGAUAGUCACGGUAAUUUGUUCUUUACAAGCGGUUUGGAUAGCAAUUAGGCAUCAAAUAUUACAGCUGCUUCUUUGGCUAUUUGUCAUUAGUGUAAUUUCAUUAAUUGGACAAAGCAUUGACUCUGUUAACCUGAAUAUAAUUUAAACUGCUGAAAGCUGAUGGCAUCUCUCUUGGUACAGUGAAAAUACACUGCUCUGUCAGAAAGCUAAAGGCAAUUAUUACUAUUAAUAGUGCAUGCUUCCACAGCACAAAGAAACUUCAGUGCCAUCAGGAUUCCUUACAUGCAAGAGAUGAAGCAGUUGACUUGAAUCACGCACAAGAUGAACAGAUGCAACCUGUGAUCCCUGCUUUAUCAGCGUGUCAUUCACUGUGACCAUUAAUGGACACAGAAAACAUUCAAUUCGAUAAUGUGUCUUUUCAUGAAAGAUUUUAGGAGAAAAUAUUUUCAGUUGUUUGCUUCAAAAUUCAAUUUUUCAUUGAGAAACAUAUCCAUUGCCAAGAAUAUUGCCAAAAAUUGCCAAAAAGUCCCAAAUGAAACCAGAGAUGCUGAAAAGGCUCUGCGCAAGAUCUGUUUCAAGCAAAUAGAAGUCUCUUUUGGCAACACCAUUCUGAUUUGAUUACAGGAAAAGACAAGCCAGUAAAUUUUAAUUUGUAGAUUUGUAAUUUGUUCAUAAAAAUUUCAAAUAAUUUUGCAAGGAAGAUUGCCGUGUAUCUUACAGAUAAUACAAAAGAGAUCUUCAGGUACACUGAGAUUCGGUUGAUCAGGAUACUAAUUACUAAGCUACAUUUAAUUUCAAAAUUUUAAAAUGCUUGAAAACUCAACCAAUCAUCUCUGUUCCUUGAAAACACAUUGUUUUUCAGAAAUAUUACAGAAAAUCUGGGAUAUGGAGAUAUUUUUAAAGGUUGUGCUUCAUAACAAUGCAUUUCCCAGCUUCCUCUGUGCAAUAAAAAGGUAAACUAAGUUAUCAACAAGAAAUCUAUCUGCUAAAAGUUAAUAACAAACAUCUGCUGGUCUCCUGGGAGAGACAGUGGAAAAUGGGUGGGAAUUUCCAGCUUUAAGCAGCCACUCCCGCAAUGUUCAAGUCAACAGAAAAACCUGUCAGUAGAAGGUCAGAGUCAUUAGGAGAUUUUUUCCCCUGCAGAGAAAUAGAUCAGAUACCCAUAAUUUCAGAGACAUUAUUUAGGAUUUUACAAAGUUCUCACAUUAGCUGAAGCUCUUAUGUAAAGCCUACCUUUCGGAGCUACAUCUUAAAGGCUUAUAAGACCACCCUGAAAGGUGCAAAGAAGACACGAACAAGCUCUUGUCAGUGGUGCCCAGUGCUAGGACAAGAGGUGACGGGUGCAAACUGGGGCACAGGAGGUUCUCCCUGUCCAUCAGGAGGCACUUCAGUGCUAUACAGGAGACAGAGCACUGGCACGGGGACACAGAGAGGGUCUCCUCUUUGGAGAUCUCCAAAAGCCACCUGGAUGUGGGCCUGGGCACCCUGCUCUGGGUUGUCCCGCUGGAGCAGGGAUGGGCCAUAUGACUCCAGAUACCUCUUCCAACCUCGGCCAUUCCACGAUUCUGUGGCUAUAAGCAAGCAAAGGUCCCAAUCCACAAAAGAAUACAGUUUAAAAAGAUUCCUAACAUCAGCAAAGUCGAGACAAUAUGUAAUGUCCCAUAUGUUCAUGAUCCUAAGCCCCUUGCACUAUCUUAGGUAAUGCUCUUUUAGUGUCAGAAAUGUCUCAUUUGCCAAUCACUAAGAAUACAUACAUAAGCCAUUAUUUCUGUUCAGUUGAUUCAUGGUCAUUUGUUAGAUUACAGUAAUAUGAUUGUGACGCUGAGUCCUAAGAAGUCAUUAUCUAAGGUAAUUAUAAAUUCUAAAGGAGCAAAAUACUUUCAGCACAUAGAGGGAAAGAACAGGUAGUUUAAUAUGAAGUUCUGCAGGUACCUUCAGAAUGUCUGACCUGAAAGAUGCCAGGUUUUAAUGAGGAAAGAGGAUAAGUGCUGAUAUUCUGUUCUUGUUAACUUGAAAAUUUUGAGAUACUUAAAAACUUUUUUUUAUCCAUAGUUUAUAGAAAAUUUAGCUCUUUCAAUUUGCUAACAAAGUUUUCACCAUGAUAUUACGUAAUAUUGACUGUAGCAUGGUAAGACUUAAAAUGGGUAAAAACCCAUUACUAUUUUUGCAGUUUUCUUUCUUACCAAACCACUUAUUCAGCAAACAAAUAGCAUAAGGUGAUACUAUUUUCAGGUAUUUUCCUGUCUCUGGGAUAACUGCUGAAGCUUACAUCUGUAAAUAUUAGCUUAAGCAACCGGUUAAAUAUAUUUCUGGUCCUCAAAGAAAUAACUGUAGUUAUAUUUAAGCAUUCCUACUUACGAACAUUUUCACGUAAGUAUCUUCUACCAUCAUUGGCUAAUAUCUCUGCCGACCAACUGUCAUGGAUGUGGCGCAGUUCAAAUCAUCUUGCAUUUCUGUGGGUUUACAUCAUCUUAAACCUGUAUUAAUUUGAAGGUACAUUUGGCACAAUGUGAGUUUUAUGGGCAUCACUUGUAGCAUCAGCAAUUAUUGAGAUUACUUGUUUCUUCUCAUUUCAAGCAUGUUGGUGCUGCCAGUGUUACAGUCAUAUGACUAGGGUGAGCCUGACAUGUCAGACACCUGUCUGAGCUUGAAAGAUUUUUGGAAAACUUCAUCCUAAGGAGUUCAGCUUUUUCCAACACUUUGACCAUGGAAAAAUCCCCAUCUUUUUCAUGUUAAACUUCGAAGUAACCUUUUUUUUUUUUUUUUUUUUUUUUACCACAACUUUAAC